Molecule: transfer RNA, 63 nt
Filed under: Heterocephalus glaber (naked mole-rat)
Lineage: Eukaryota; Metazoa; Chordata; Mammalia; Rodentia; Bathyergidae
Rfam family: tRNA
About the family: Transfer RNA (tRNA) molecules are approximately 80 nucleotides in length. Their secondary structure includes four short double-helical elements and three loops (D, anti-codon, and T loops). Further hydrogen bonds mediate the characteristic L-shaped molecular structure. tRNAs have two regions of fundamental functional importance: the anti-codon, which is responsible for specific mRNA codon recognition, and the 3' end, to which the tRNAs corresponding amino acid is attached (by aminoacyl-tRNA synthetases). tRNAs cope with the degeneracy of the genetic code in two manners: having more than one tRNA (with a specific anti-codon) for a particular amino acid; and 'wobble' base-pairing, i.e. permitting non-standard base-pairing at the 3rd anti-codon position.
Source: Rfam by way of RNAcentral
GUGGGGCUCAUUGGCAGAGCGUGUGCCUGGCAUGCUCAAGGCCCUGGGUUUAAUCCCCAGCAC